GAUGAACGCUGGCGGCGUGCCUAAUACAUGCAAGUCGAGCGAACAGACGAGGAGCUUGCUCCUCUGACGUUAGCGGCGGACGGGUGAGUAACACGUGGAUAACCUACCUAUAAGACUGGGAUAACUCCGGGAAACCGGAGCUAAUACCGGAUAAUAUAUUGAACCGCAUGGUUCAAUAGUGAAAGACGGUUUUGCUGUCACUUAUAGAUGGAUCCGCGCCGCAUUAGCUAGUUGGUAAGGUAACGGCUUACCAAGGCAACGAUGCGUAGCCGACCUGAGAGGGUGAUCGGCCACACUGGAACUGAGAUACGGUCCAGACUCCUACGGGAGGCAGCAGUAGGGAAUCUUCCGCAAUGGGCGAAAGCCUGACGGAGCAACGCCGCGUGAGUGAUGAAGGUCUGCGGAUCGUAAAACUCUGUUAUUAGGGAAGAACAAAUGUGUAAGUAACUAUGCACGUCUUGACGGUACCUAAGCAGAAAGCCACGGCUAACUACGU
Molecule: ribosomal RNA, 496 nt
Filed under: uncultured bacterium
Lineage: Bacteria
Description: partial 16S ribosomal RNA
Rfam family: Bacterial small subunit ribosomal RNA
Source: RNAcentral